UUAGAUCACCGAAGUCAAGCAUCAUUGGGCGCGGUCAGUACUUGGGUAGGUGAUCACCUGGGAACACCGCGUGCCGUU
Molecule: ribosomal RNA, 78 nt
Filed under: Caerostris extrusa
Lineage: Eukaryota; Metazoa; Arthropoda; Arachnida; Araneae; Araneidae
Source: RNAcentral